RNAcentral lists this unclassified non-coding RNA (1381 nucleotides) under Leishmania donovani. RNAcentral describes it as "gene:unknown". Lineage: Eukaryota; Euglenozoa; Kinetoplastea; Trypanosomatida; Trypanosomatidae. The record is from RNAcentral.
CGGCAGCGCAUCAUUGCGCUCAAACACAGCUCUACUCCUCUCUUUCUCUCGCUACAUGAAGCUGAGAAGCUGCUGUGCACGGACCCAUCCCUACACACGUACCCUUGCGUUCACAGGGAGGCUGACCGACGCAGCUGCGCCUAGCAAGAAAGGGGUGAGAGUGGGGGAAGGGGGACAUGGCAAUGCCAUUCACUCGUGCGCUGCGGCCACUGACAGGCUUUCGCUCGCUCUCUCUGUCACUCUACAACUCUGACCACUCCCAAACCUCUCUUCCCUUAUCAUCUCCUCUUUUGACGAGCUCCUCCGGUACUCUCCCAUCUCGAGUGCGACGAGAGCGAGAGCGAGAUGGGGGGAGGAGACUGCCGCCACUUCUCGGCUCCCCCUUGCCUCCAGUUGUCUUUGACUCUCACCCUUCUCCCGUCGUUGGUCUGCUGCCGCCUUCUCUCUCCUAGCCCCGUGACGCUGAUAACCGGCCUGAAGUAUAAUUCCCUUUGUAGCGCGCCUCUCGUCUUCCCCGCCUCUGCUAUCUUGCAAUUUCGCUGAUCUUCAUAUGCUGUGUUUAUUUCCGUCUCUCCCUCGCCCGGAUGACGGAUGGGAGGGGGGGCACACACCUCCGUGCGUGGCGUCUCACGGUCCCGUACCUCCCCCUCCCCCACUCUGUGGCGAAAGUCAGGCAGCCCCCCACCCCUACCCCUGCCAGUGCCGAGCCGCUUCCGGUGGUGACAGGGUCAGGUGCCUACCCCACAGGGGAGGCCAGCGCGACUCCUGUCCGCAGCCAGGCCCUGGACGGCGUGCUGCUGGAGCGGCCGGCGACUGUGAAGGCGCUUGUGCCGUCCGCGCGAUGGGCCGAGCGUCAGCGCGGCUCGCGCGCACGCCACCCGGUGCUCGCUGCCUGCUGGCGGGGAGCCUUUAUGCGACCCCGAGGGGGUGCACCCGGUGGCGGCGGGCGGGGCGCGGGUGGUGUGCCGACGUUGAGGCGGAGGCCGCGCCCCGGCGACUGUGGCGGCGCAUUGCUGGGAGGCGUGUGUGUCCCGCUGCUUCGCGCCGCGCGAUGACGGUCCUGUGCGGCCGGGCCGGGGGCCAGAGUGGUGGUGGGGGUGGCUGGGCUCAUGCUCCAUGGCGGCGAAUGACCGCGCUGAAGGAAAAAAGGAAAACCGUCGGUCUUCACUGUGACUUGUGGGUGUCGUGGGAGGCUCGUUUGCGGACUUGUUUCGGGCGCGUCCUCCAGCCAACCUUCACCCCCGUUUCUCUUUCGGGGUGCGUCAGCGUGCGCCUUGGCUUGCUCUGUCUUUCGCAUUUUACGGUGAUGCAUCGUGUGGAGCGACGGGCGCCGUUUCUUUACUUUUUCUACCCAUCUCCCAAUCGCUCGCGCUCUGUGAAG